RNAcentral lists this ribosomal RNA (393 nucleotides) under uncultured bacterium. RNAcentral describes it as "partial 16S ribosomal RNA". It matches the Rfam family "Bacterial small subunit ribosomal RNA", at positions 523 to 918 of the family's 1533-position model. The record is from RNAcentral.
AUACGGAGGAUCCGAGCGUUAUCCGGAUUUAUUGGGUUUAAAGGGUGCGUAGGCGGGACUGUAAGUCAGGGGUGAAAUACUGCAGCUUAACUGUAGCAUUGCCUUUGAAACUGCCGUUCUUGAGUACAGUUGAGGUAGGCGGAAUGUGGUGUGUAGCGGUGAAAUGCAUAGAUAUACCACAGAACGCCGAUUGCGAAGGCAGCUUACUAAGCUGUUACUGACGCUGAGGCACGAAAGCGUGGGGAUCAAACAGGAUUAGAUACCCUGGUAGUCCACGCUGUAAACGAUGAUUACUGGUUGUUAGCGAUAUAUAGCUAGUGACUGAGCGAAAGCAUUAAGUAAUCCACCUGGGGAGUACGUCGGCAACGAUGAAACUCAAAUGAAUUGACGGGG